GUGCUCACUUUGGCGGCACAUAUACUAAAAUUGGAACGAUAUAGAGAAGAUGAGCAUGGCCCCUGCACAAAAUAAAGACAACAAGAUGCUCAAAUUAUUAAU
Balaenoptera musculus (blue whale) is the source of this 102-nucleotide small nuclear RNA. Lineage: Eukaryota; Metazoa; Chordata; Mammalia; Artiodactyla; Balaenopteridae. The record is from Ensembl.